CGGUGUUUCCAUACCUGGAGUCGCUAUCCUUCCGUGAAGCACAGACUCGCUGGGCAGCAGAUCUUUUGAAUUGGAGAGUACAAAUGCCUUCUGUUCAAGGCCGUCUUCAAGGGAGGCCAGUCCGUACAACCUAACACCGAGAUUUCAAGGAAUGAGUUCCUGUGGCCCUGGCUGGAGCAUUCAUGCUCUGUGCAGCCAGGAAACUUCUCAGGACAAGGAGCACAAUGCCAGGCCUUGUCGAGGGCCGCCACGGCAGAGAGGCCAGCUCGGGGGAGUGGAGCCAACCGCAGCCCAAGGAAGUGAACCCUGCACGUCCGGAUUCUCCAAAUGUCAGGCUGUGGAGGGACCCGGACCUCCCGCAGGAACCUGGCUUCACACAGCCACAGGACAACGGCUUUCUUGAGAGGAAUACAAUGGAUAGUUCUGGAAGCAUAUUGUUUCAACAUUAACGAGUCAGUGGAGCCAUCCGGAAUGGGAGAAAGGACAGAGGGUAAUACCUACAGGACAGUGGAAUACGGGCAUAAAUAAAAAUACAGAGAAGACCAUGGUGAAACCUGAAGACAGAACCGCCAAAGCAUAGACACGAGGAAGGAGGAUUUGAUGAAGAGGGAGGUGUAGUCAUCGGCCCUUAUGGGAGAGCGAGUUCACUAUACAAGGGGACUUCAAAAAGUUCACAGAAGUGGGGACUAGCAGUUGGCAUAAUGGCUAUAU
Long non-coding RNA from Tupaia belangeri chinensis (Chinese tree shrew), 711 nucleotides. RefSeq lists it as uncharacterized. The transcript has 4 exons. NCBI's taxonomy places the organism in Eukaryota, Metazoa, Chordata, Mammalia, Scandentia, Tupaiidae. The record is from RefSeq and is a predicted model, not a curated record.